Molecule: ribosomal RNA, 460 nt
Filed under: uncultured bacterium
Lineage: Bacteria
Description: partial 16S ribosomal RNA
Rfam family: Bacterial small subunit ribosomal RNA
Source: RNAcentral
CCUACGGGAUGCAGCAGUGAGGAAUAUUGGUCAAUGGGCGCGAGCCUGAACCAGCCAAGUCGCGUGAGGGAGGACGGCCCUACGGGUUGUAAACCUCUUUUGCCGGGGAGCAACGGGCGUCACGUGUGGCGCCACUGAGAGUACCCGGAGAAAAAGCAUCGGCUAACUCCGUGCCAGCAGCCGCGGUAAUACGGGGGAUGCGAGCGUUAUCCGGAUUUAUUGGGUUUAAAGGGUGCGUAGGCGGAGCGUUAAGUCAUGGGUAAAAUUGAGGGGCUAAACCCCUUCCCGCCAUUGAAACUGGCGCUCUUGAGUGGAAGAGAAGUAUGCGGAAUGCGUGGUGUAGCGGUGAAAUGCAUAGAUAUCACGCAGAACCCCGAUUGCGAAGGCAGCAUGCCGGCUUCCGACUGACGCUGAAGCACGAAAGCGUGGGGAUCGAACAGGAUUAGAUACCCUAGUAGUC